RNAcentral lists this ribosomal RNA (1142 nucleotides) under Heyndrickxia acidicola. RNAcentral's name for it is "bacterial SSU rRNA". It matches the Rfam family "Bacterial small subunit ribosomal RNA", at positions 340 to 1472 of the family's 1533-position model. The record is from RNAcentral. Lineage: Bacteria; Bacillati; Bacillota; Bacilli; Caryophanales; Bacillaceae.
UACGGGAGGCAGCAGUAGGGAAUCUUCCGCAAUGGACGAAAGUCUGACGGAGCAACGCCGCGUGAGUGAUGAAGGUUUUCGGAUCGUAAAACUCUGUUGUUAGGGAAGAACAAGUACCGUUCGAAUAGGGCGGUACCUUGACGGUACCUAACCAGAAAGCCACGGCUAACUACGUGCCAGCAGCCGCGGUAAUACGUAGGUGGCAAGCGUUGUCCGGAAUUAUUGGGCGUAAAGCGCGCGCAGGCGGUUUCUUAAGUCUGAUGUGAAAGCCCACGGCUCAACCGUGGAGGGUCAUUGGAAACUGGGAGACUUGAGUGCAGAAGAGGAGAGUGGAAUUCCACGUGUAGCGGUGAAAUGCGUAGAGAUGUGGAGGAACACCAGUGGCGAAGGCGACUCUCUGGUCUGUAACUGACGCUGAGGCGCGAAAGCGUGGGGAGCGAACAGGAUUAGAUACCCUGGUAGUCCACGCCGUAAACGAUGAGUGCUAAGUGUUAGAGGGUUUCCGCCCUUUAGUGCUGCAGCUAACGCAUUAAGCACUCCGCCUGGGGAGUACGGCCGCAAGGCUGAAACUCAAAGGAAUUGACGGGGGCCCGCACAAGCGGUGGAGCAUGUGGUUUAAUUCGAAGCAACGCGAAGAACCUUACCAGGUCUUGACAUCCUCUGACAACCCUAGAGAUAGGGCUUUCCCCUUCGGGGGACAGAGUGACAGGUGGUGCAUGGUUGUCGUCAGCUCGUGUCGUGAGAUGUUGGGUUAAGUCCCGCAACGAGCGCAACCCUUGACCUUAGUUGCCAGCAUUCAGUUGGGCACUCUAGGGUGACUGCCGGUGACAAACCGGAGGAAGGUGGGGAUGACGUCAAAUCAUCAUGCCCCUUAUGACCUGGGCUACACACGUGCUACAAUGGAUGGUACAAAGGGCUGCAAGACCGCGAGGUUUAGCCAAUCCCAUAAAACCAUUCUCAGUUCGGAUUGUAGGCUGCAACUCGCCUACAUGAAGCCGGAUAGGGUAGUAAUCGCGGAUCAGCAUGCCGCGGUGAAUACGUUCCCGGGCCUUGUACACACCGCCCGUCACACCACGAGAGUUUGUAACACCCGAAGUCGGUGAGGUAACCUUUUGGAGCCAGCCGCCGAAGGUGGGACAGAU